AUGGUCAACAUCAAGACUUGAAGUGAGUCUUAUGUGCUAUACAGAUAGUUGAAGGUUAAUUAGCAGUAUAACUAUAAAUAGUAAUGCUGCCAGUCUCCUUCAGACAAGA
This 109-nucleotide small nucleolar RNA is filed under the name Otolemur garnettii (small-eared galago). Lineage: Eukaryota; Metazoa; Chordata; Mammalia; Primates; Galagidae. The record is from RNAcentral.